UUCCCGAACGUGGUCCCAGCGAGAAAUGCCGAGAUUUGGCUAAGUCCUGAAAAUCGAGCUCUCGGGGACCGGUCUCUCAGGCGAGGACCGGUCUCCCGAGGACCGGUCUCCUGGGGAGAGACCGGUUCCCGAACGCGUGUGCCCGAGGGAGGCCCUCGGGGACCGGUCCCAAGUUGUGGAGACCGGUCCCUCCGCGCGAAUUCUGCCCAGUAAGGGCAGUGUAUAGGAUUAAAAGUUGAGGGGUUUUUAUGCAAAAUGGCAUUAGUUAGGGGGGGAUUAGAGGGGCUGAGCCCUCUUCCUCUCUCACCCUCACUCACACUCUCUCCCUCUCAUAUUUUCUCUCCCUCUCUCUCUCUAGAAAGGAAAGGAGGAGAAGAAGAACAAGAAGGAGAGGAAGGAAAAGAAG
Molecule: long non-coding RNA, 406 nt
Filed under: Ananas comosus (pineapple)
Lineage: Eukaryota; Viridiplantae; Streptophyta; Magnoliopsida; Poales; Bromeliaceae
Description: long non-coding RNA (ACOM_LNC034438)
Source: RNAcentral